AUUGAACGCUGGCGGGAGGCCUUACACAUGCAAGUCGAACGAGUGGCGGACGGGUGAGUAAUGUCUGGGAACCUGCCUAAUGGAGGGGGAUAACUACUGGAAACGGUAGCUAAUACCGCAUACCCUCAGAUGUGCCCAUAUGGGAUUAGCUAGUUGGUGGGGUAAAGGCUCACCAAGGCAACUAUCCCUAGCUGGUUUGAGAGGAUGACCAGCCACACGGGAACUGAGACACGGUCCAGACUCCUACGGGAGGCAGCAGUGGGGAAUAUUGCACAAUGGGCGAAAGCCUGAUGCAGCCAUGCCGCGUGUAUGAAGAAGGCCUUCGGGUUGUAAAGUACUUUCAGCGGGGAGGCGUUACCCGCAGAAGAAGCACCGGCUAACUCCGUGCCAGCAGCCGCGGUAAUAC
This 406-nucleotide ribosomal RNA is filed under the name uncultured bacterium. RNAcentral's name for it is "partial 16S ribosomal RNA". It matches the Rfam family "Bacterial small subunit ribosomal RNA", at positions 30 to 526 of the family's 1533-position model. The record is from RNAcentral.